UAGGGAAUCUUCGGCAAUGGGGGCAACCCUGACCGAGCAACGCCGCGUGAGUGAAGAAGGUUUUCGGAUCGUAAAGCUCUGUUGUAAGUCAAGAACGGGUGUGAGAGUGGAAAGUUCACACUGUGACGGUAGCUUACCAGAAAGGGACGGCUAACUACGUGCCAGCAGCCGCGGUAAUACGUAGGUCCCGAGCGUUGUCCGGAUUUAUUGGGCGUAAAGCGAGCGCAGGCGGUUUGAUAAGUCUGAAGUUAAAGGCUGUGGCUCAACCAUAGUUCGCUUUGGAAACUGUCAAACUUGAGUGCAGAAGGGGAGAGUGGAAUUCCAUGUGUAGCGGUGAAAUGCGUAGAUAUAUGGAGGAACACCGGUGGCGAAAGCGGCUCUCUGGUCUGUAACUGACGCUGAGGCUCGAAAGCGUGGGGAGCGAACAGGAUUAGAUACCCUGGUAGUCCACGCCGUAAACGAUGAGUGCUAGGUGUUGGAUCCUUUCCGGGAUUCAGUGCCGCAGCUAA
Molecule: ribosomal RNA, 509 nt
Filed under: uncultured bacterium
Lineage: Bacteria
Description: partial 16S ribosomal RNA
Rfam family: Bacterial small subunit ribosomal RNA
Source: RNAcentral